GAUGAACGCUGGCGGCGUGCCUAAUACAUGCAAGUCGAGCGACCGGACGAGAAGCUCGCUUCCCUGAUGUUAGCGGCGGACGGGCGAGUAACACGUGGAUAACAUACUUAUAAGACUGGGAUAACUUCGGGAAACCGGAGCUACUACUGGAUAAUAUUUUGUACCGCAUGGUUCAAAAGUGCAUGACGGCUUUGCCGUUUCUAAUAGAUGGUUCCGCGCUGCAUUAGCUAGUUGGUAAGGUAACGGCUUACCAAGGCAACGAUGCAUAGCCGACCUGAGAGGGUGAUCAGCCACACUGGAACUGAGACACGGUCCAGACUCCUACGGGAGGCAGCAGUAGGGAAUCUUCCACAAUGGGCGAAAGCCUGACGGAGCAACGCCGCGUGGGUGAUGAAGGUCUUCGGGUCGUAAAACUCUGUUGUUAGGAAAGAAAAUAUGUAUAAGAAUCUGUGCACGUCUUGACGGUACCUAAACAGUAAGCCACGGCUAACUACGUG
This 497-nucleotide ribosomal RNA is filed under the name uncultured bacterium. RNAcentral describes it as "partial 16S ribosomal RNA". It matches the Rfam family "Bacterial small subunit ribosomal RNA", at positions 28 to 507 of the family's 1533-position model. The record is from RNAcentral.